CAUAGAUCCGGGUUCGAUUCCCCACAUGGGUACAAUGUGUGAAGCCCAUUUCUGGUGUCUGUCGUGAUAUUGCUGGAAUAUUGCUAAAAGCGGCGUAAAACCAUACUCACUCACUCACUCAUCCUUCAUAGGACGUUUGUUUUGGGGUUCUCAUAGUUUUUAGUGUAACAGUUUUUGUGUAUUUCGGGGCAAUCUUGAAGUGUAUGGUUGAUAUUUUGGGUUGUUUGUUUUAGUUUAUACUGUCUCUAGCAGGAUGCAAGCUAAUGUUGACUUCACUGCAAGACAUAUUUAAGAAAGCCAAGGGGCUUUUGUCUUAUCUCUUGAUGUUAAACUUUGCAUGUGUAGGGGUCCUAAACUUUUUCUUUCCUCCUGUCGACUUCUAAUUUGGACCCCAUUUUAAAUUGAAUAUUGGAUAACAUGAGAAUAGUUACCGGCAUAUAUCUAGUCAGGUAUGCAUUCAAAGAUUCUCUCUACAAAUUAUGCCAAAGUUGUUUGUGUGAAGAUUUGAAGAUUUUAUCAACAUCUUUAUGAUGAUCCAUUUGUUACAUUUUCUAUCCAUUUUGUGUCACUGUUGUCAUGGUAAUAACAGUAAAGUUAUUUCUUCUGUGUUUAUACUCAUGACUCAUUACAGAAAUACUGUAUUUGGUUUUCCUUUUUGGUGACUUUUUAGUUGUCCUUUUGUUGACAGUUAGCAACUAACAUUGAUAUAUAUUAUUAUUGCCAUCCCUAUGCCAUUCCUUAUUCUCACACCGUUGUGUGUGCAAUAUUAUGCAAGUACUCAAAAUUAUGUUCUAUACAUAUCCCUUGUUUCUUGAAUUUUCAUCAUUUAUUUGUUAUUUUUAUUGAGGACACAACUGAAUACUUAAUACUUGUUUUUUUGUAAGCAGAACCACAAAUUAAGUCGUGAUCUAUUUAUUUGUAUCAAGAUAUAAUCUGAUAAACAGAUUAACUUAACAUCAUUUCAUAAAUGAAAUCCUCUUCUUGAGGUGAGAUCCUGAUUUUGAUAAUUUUAGUGAGUUAAAGGAAUAUCAAAUGAAAUUGUUACUACUUAUUAUUAUGUAGAAGUGGUUUUUAUUUUUACUGUAUUAUAUUUUCUGUGUUUUUAAGUCUUAUUUGUGUGGGGUUUGAUGAUACUUGAAGGAUACUUUAAGCAUUGAAUUGUAACCUGGGGCUAGAGACACUACAAGAAGUGCAAUAUGAAAUGCAGCAACAAUGAAAGGUGAAUGGUAUGAGAGGAAGCCUCAGGCUAGUGAUGUGAUGUGGACUGUAUCACAUUCUUUAAUGUACUCUAAGCGUAUCAUGAAAGCCAUACCUUAUUGCUACUUACGUUAUUAUACAAUCAGAUUCAGAACUUUGGAUUGUGGCUGUUUUAUGUUUCUACUUCAAUUACAAUCUGGCUGAGUUCUUGCAAAGCAGGGCGGUGGGGUAGCCUAGUGGUUAAAGCAUUCGCUUGUCACGCCGAAGACCCGGGUUCGAUUUGUCACAUGGGUACAAUGUGUGAAGUACAUUUAUGGUUGCUGGAAUAUUGCUAAAAGCGGCGUAAAACUAAACUCACUCACUCACUCUUGCAAAGCUGAGUUAAUAAUACUUUUUGGAAACUGAUACAGAGUGAUGUUAUGAAUUAAUACAUGGGGAGGCAUUUCAUGUACUUUAUCACUUUGUUUAAAUUGUUUAUGUUCAUCUGUAAUUCCCCCCCAAAAGUAUCAUAGAAAAUGGCAAUAUAAGCAUCAUUGUAAGUAAAGAUUCACAAUAGUAGCAUUGUAAUAUGACGUGUAUCACAAUAUUAGCAUUGUGAUAUGACGUGUAUCACAAUGUAAGUGUGAUAUGACGUGUAUCACAAUAUUAGCAGUGUGAUAUGACGUGUAUCACAAAAUUAGCAGUGUGAUAUAACAUGUAUCACAGUAUUAGCAUUGUGAUAUGACAUCUAUCACAAUAUUAGCAUUGUGAUAUGACAUCUAUCACAAUAUUAGCAGUGUGAUAUAACAUGUAUCACAAUAUUAGCAAUGUGAUAUGACAUCUAUCACAAUAUUAGCAUUGUGAUAUGACAUCUAUCACAGUAUUAGCAUUGUGAUAUGACACCUAUCACAAUAUUGGCAUUGUCCUGUGCUGUGAUAUGCAUCAUUGGACUAAUGUAUCUUGGUAUUUACCGGUACUCCAUAUUUGUAUUGUAACCUGUUAGCAUGCUAACUGAAGAUAAUUAAUCAAAACACAUCAACCUUUUCAGUGUUACAUUAAAAAUAAUCAGCUUUGCCUUAUAGCAGUAUGCAAGGACCAAUGUUUAUGUUGCACUGUAUUAUUUUUCCCCCAGUAUUUCUCUGUUGUGGAUCCGAAUCUCUCCUGUUGUUUAUUUCAUUUUGCCUCAACCAUCUUAACCUUUGGCUUAAGAAAACAGCCUAUAUAGUCUUCAUAUUAACAAAUUUGUAAAUAGAACAACUGCUAAGAUACAAUGGAAGCUGUAAUUUUAUGCAUUUUGGUUCUAACAGAUUGCAUUUCCUAUUCUACCAUUCCAUUAAACAGUAUUUGGAACAUCAUAUGUAGUAGAAGUAUGUGGUUUGUAUACAGGGCUAUGUCACCCUAGCAUGGUAUGAGAUGUAUUCAGAACAGCGGUCAGGAUCGACUGUAAGUUAUAGUGUGAUUGUUAUGGCUAAUAUGUGACGAGUCUGUGUGUAUCUGUGUACAUUUGUGUACAAGACAAGGGUAAAUGUACUGGGUAAAAAUCCUGUAGUUUCUAAAUAAGUUCUUUGUUAAGAAUAGUAAUAUGUUUUUCCAUGCAAAACUUUUGAAAUAAGUCCCUUGAAACCAGGAUGAAAAGGAUUUUCGAUCAUUUUUCACAUCCUGAAACAUGGUGAAGAAAAAUCUACAUUUCCUUGUCAUAAAAUCUCUGGUUGAACGGAAAUCCAGAUGUCUUUACAGGUAUAGUUCUUGAGUAACACAUGAGCCUCAUUGCUCUCAUUGUAUUUACCUUUGUGUUAAUUGCAACUAAAUUAGCCACCCAGGCAAUGCCCUUUUCUAUUUGUUAAAUGUCCACAAAGGGUCACCAUCUGACAAACUGAAGGUCACAUGCUUUUUCAAGCAUGUCACCUCAUUCAGCAGCCACUGUGAGCACUACCUAUGCAUUGUACUUACAAUUACCUCAGGUGACCUCGACAUUGUGGUCUUUACCUUUGUUAUCUCCCUUUGGCCAACUGCCUGGAUAGAGGUUACCAGUAAGUUAAAUGUUUCACAAAAUAUUGUUUGUAUUUUUUACUUUGUUGAGUAUUAUUUGUUUAUUGAUGGUGGGGAAUUAAUAAGAAACAUAGUAAAUAGUGUGUAUCAUCCCAAAUAUGAUUUUGUUAAAACCUUACUUACUUUACCAGUAACCCGUGAAGAUCUGGGUUAGAAUUGAUCUUCAGCAACCCAUGCUUGUCGUAAAAGGCAACUAACGGGAUCGGGUGGUUAGGCUCGUUGACUUAGCUGACACCUCAUUGGUUCCCAAUUAUGCAGAACGAUGCUCAUGCUGUUGAUCACUGGAUUGUCUGGUCCAGACUCGAUUAUUUACAGACCGUCGCCAUAUAGCUGGAAUAAUGCUGAGUGCAGCGUAAAACUAAACUCACUCACUCACUACUUUACCAGUAAUUAAUCACUUUCAAAUGAAUUGGUCCAUUGACAUGGGUUCAUCAAAUGAUGAAACCCAGCAUGAAUGUAUUGUUUAUUUGAACCCUGAAUGGAGGGAUUUGAACUGUCUUAGUUAAUUAGUUAGUUGUCCAAUUUAGAGUAUCCCAUAAUAAUUGAAAUCUAGUAAUCAUUCCUAAUCAGGUAGACCAGUGACUCCUAUUUAACCUUGCUGAAGUUACAGAUACUGAUGCUGUGAUCUCUUGGUAUAUCUGUGGCACUAUGUAACAGUCCAGACAAACUAAUAUAUAUGUAUUUAGCACUGUCAGUGUCUGGCUUGCAUGGGUGGUAACUGGGUGGAAGAUCUUCAUAUCAGCUUCGCAAUACAGAAUAUCUUGGUUGUUAGUGUAUGAUAUCAUGUAUAUCAGCAGAAUAAAUUUCUACAGGUACA
Molecule: long non-coding RNA, 4042 nt
Organism: Haliotis rubra (blacklip abalone)
Lineage: Eukaryota; Metazoa; Mollusca; Gastropoda; Lepetellida; Haliotidae
Exons: 2
Source: RefSeq, a predicted model, not a curated record